GAUGAACGCUAGCGGCAGGCCUAAUACAUGCAAGUCGAACGCUCAGUAGCAAUACUGGGAGUGGCGCACGGGUGCGUAACGCGUACACAAUCUACCUCUAAGCGGGGACACCUCCUGGAAACGGGGAUUAAUACCGCAUAAUAUGCCGAGGUCGCAUGACUUUGGUAUUAAAGCAGCAAUGCACUUAGAGAUGAGUGUGCGUCCCAUUAGGUAGUUGGUGAGGUAACGGCUCACCAAGCCUAUGAUGGGUAGCCGGUCUGAGAGGAUGGUCGGCCACACGGGCACUGAGACACGGCCGACUCCUACGGGAGGGCGAGCAGUAAGGAAGUAAUUGGUUCG
Molecule: ribosomal RNA, 339 nt
Filed under: uncultured bacterium
Lineage: Bacteria
Description: bacterial SSU rRNA
Rfam family: Bacterial small subunit ribosomal RNA
Source: RNAcentral